This 200-nucleotide ribosomal RNA is filed under the name uncultured bacterium. RNAcentral's name for it is "partial 16S ribosomal RNA". It matches the Rfam family "Bacterial small subunit ribosomal RNA", at positions 8 to 211 of the family's 1533-position model. The record is from RNAcentral.
AGAGUUUGAUCCUGGCUCAGAACGAACGCUGGCGGCAUGCCUAACACAUGCAAGUCGAACGCUUUUGCGGUUUCGGCCGCAAGGGAGUGGCGGACGGGUGAGUAGCGCGUGGGAACCUGCCCCUUUGUGGGGGAUAACCGAGGGAAACUUCGGCUAAUACCGCAUGCGCCCCUGGGGGAGACCUUGGGGGGAAAGAUUUA